RNAcentral lists this ribosomal RNA (506 nucleotides) under uncultured bacterium. Its description in RNAcentral is "partial 16S ribosomal RNA". It matches the Rfam family "Bacterial small subunit ribosomal RNA", at positions 29 to 523 of the family's 1533-position model. The record is from RNAcentral.
AGUGAACGCUGGCGGUAGGCCUAACACAUGCAAGUCGAACGGCAGCACAGGAGAGCUUGCUCUCUGGGUGGCGAGUGGCGGACGGGGGAGGAAUACAUCGGAAUCUACUCUGUCGUGGGGGAUAACGUAGGGAAACUUACGCUAAUACCGCAUACGACCUACGGGUGAAAGCAGGGGACCUUCGGGCCUUGCGCGAUUGAAUGAGCCGGUGUCGGAUUAGCUAGUUGGCGGGGUAAAGGCCCACCAAGGCGACGAUCCGUAGCUGGUCCGAGAGGAUGAUCAGCCACACUGGAACUGAGACACGGUCCAGACUCCUACGGGAGGCAGCAGUGGGGAAUAUUGGACAAUGGGCGCAAGCCUGAUCCAGCCAUACCGCGUGGGUGAAGAAGGCCUUCGGGUUGUAAAGCCCUUUUGUUGGGAAAGAAAUCCAGCUGGCUAAUACCCGGUUGGGAUGACGGUACCCAAAGAAUAAGCACCGGCUAACUUCGUGCCAGCCGCCGCCGUAA